UAUUGAGCUAUUCAAACUAUUUCAGAGAAUCGAGAACUUUUUCAGUGUCCAUUACUAUUUGAUGAAAUUUGGGAUCCAAAAGACACAAUUUCAUAAAGUUGGUAAAAUCUGUUGGCAUCGUAGACGUGUUUUUAUGAUCUGCAACAAAUAAAAUACAGGGCCAUAUUGGACAAGCUGGUGCAUUCCAGCUGUAGACAGAAAAAAAUACAGGAUUUUCACAUGAUUCGAGGACGAGGGUGGGUGACAAAACAAAUCACAAUGUUACCCUAAAACAAGUUUUAUUAACUUACACUUACAAAGCUAUAAAUUAUAAAUAUUUACAGAGAUUUCAAAAAUAUACUAAAAUAACAUUUGAAUAAUGAAAUUAAUGAACAUACACAAAAGGCAAAUGUUUCAGGCUGGUCAGGUUGUACUGCAAACGAAAUAAAAUGUUUCACUGAAUAAGCAACA
Long non-coding RNA from Plutella xylostella (diamondback moth), 450 nucleotides. RefSeq lists it as uncharacterized. Lineage: Eukaryota; Metazoa; Arthropoda; Insecta; Lepidoptera; Plutellidae. The record is from RefSeq and is a predicted model, not a curated record.